RNAcentral lists this ribosomal RNA (80 nucleotides) under Klebsiella pneumoniae. Lineage: Bacteria; Pseudomonadati; Pseudomonadota; Gammaproteobacteria; Enterobacterales; Enterobacteriaceae. The record is from RNAcentral.
CCUGGCGGCACUAGCGCGGUUGUCCCACCUGACCCCAUGCCGAACUCAGAAGUGAAACGCCGUAGCGCCGAUGGUAGUGU